Molecule: ribosomal RNA, 1178 nt
Filed under: uncultured fungus
Lineage: Eukaryota; Fungi
Description: eukaryotic LSU rRNA
Rfam family: Eukaryotic large subunit ribosomal RNA (bases 543-1178)
Source: RNAcentral
AAGUCGUAACAAGGUUUCCGUAGGUGAACCUGCGGAAGGAUCAUUACCGAGAAAGGGGCUUCGCGCUCCCGGGGGCUUUGGCCCCCAACUCUCCACCCGUUGUCUACCUACCUUUGUUGCUUUGGCGGGCCUCGGGCCCCACCGCGCCGACCCGGGGGUCGGCGAGCGCCCGCCGGAGGCCCAUUAAACUCCGUUUAAUCAGUGAUGUCCGAGUUAUAAACACAAUAGUAAAAACUUUCAACAACGGAUCUCUUGGUUCCAGCAUCGAUGAAGAACGCAGCGAAAUGCGAUAAGUAAUGUGAAUUGCAGAAUUCAGUGAAUCAUCGAAUCUUUGAACGCACAUUGCGCCCCUCGGUAUUCCGGGGGGGCAUGCCUGUUCGAGCGUCAUUGCACCCCUCAAGCGCAGCUUGGUCUUGGGCUUCCGCCCUUGCGGCGGGCCCGAAAAGCAGUGGCGGUCCGGUGUGACUUCAAGCGUAGUAAAUUUAUCCCGCUUUGAAAGUUCGCGCCGUGGCCUGCCAGAGAACCCCAUAGGCUUCAAUAAUUGACCUCGGAUCAGGUAAGGAUACCGCUGAACUUAAGCAUAUCAAUAAGCGGAGGAAAAAGAAACCAACAGGGAUUGCCUCAGUAACGGCGAGUGAAGCGGCAAUAGCUCAAAUUUGAAAUCUGGCCCCUUCGGGGUCCGAGUUGUAAUUUGUAGAGAGUGUUUCGGGUGAGACCACGGUCUAAGUCCAUUGGAACAUGGCGUCAUAGAGGGUGAGAAUCCCGUAUGUGACUGCGGCUCGAGCCCAUGUGAAGCCUCUUCGACGAGUCGAGUUGUUUGGGAAUGCAGCUCAAAAUGGGUGGUAAAUUUCAUCUAAAGCUAAAUACUGGCUGGAGACCGAUAGCGCACAAGUAGAGUGAUCGAAAGAUGAAAAGCACUUUGGAAAGAGAGUCAAACAGUACGUGAAAUUGUUGAAAGGGAAGCGCUUGCAACCAGACCUGCCCGUAGGUGAUCAGCCGCUGUUUUCCAGUGGUGCACUCGCUCUGCGAUCAGGCCAGCAUCGGUUUUGGCGGCCGGAUAAAGGCCUUGGGAAUGUAGCUUCCUUUCGGGGGAGUCUUAUAGCCCUCGGUGCAAUGCGGCAGCCGGGACCGAGGACCGCGCUUCGGCUAGGANGCUGGCGUAAUGGUUGUAAGCGACC